AGCAGUCGCCGCGGUAAAACGUAGGUGGCAAGCGUUGUCCGGAAUUAUUGGGCGUAAAGGGCUCGCAGGCGGUUUCUUAAGUCUGAUGUGAAAGCCCCCGGCUCAACCGGGGAGGGUCAUUGGAAACUGGGAAACUUGAGUGCAGAAGAGGAGAGUGGAAUUCCACGUGUAGCGGUGAAAUGCGUAGAGAUGUGGAGGAACACCAGUGGCGAAGGCGACUCUCUGGUAUGUAACUGACGCUGAGGAGCGAAAGCGUGGGGAGCGAACAGGAUUAGAUACCCGCGUAGUCCCUGUCUCUUAUAA
Molecule: ribosomal RNA, 303 nt
Filed under: uncultured bacterium
Lineage: Bacteria
Description: partial 16S ribosomal RNA
Rfam family: Bacterial small subunit ribosomal RNA
Source: RNAcentral